CUUAUGCUUCGUUUCAGUUGCUUGGUGAGCGAGACUAAGGCUGAGAACUCUAGUUGUGGUUUGUUUGAAAAAAAAUAGUCUCCAAUUGAAGAUCUGUUGGUGACUCGAGCCUGUUUUGAUGAUAUUACGAUAGUUUGGAUGUGAAUCGUUGUUUCAUAGUUGCAUCUAGAUCCUUUCGCUGAGGUGCCUAUCACAUGUUCGAUAAUAUGCCUGAACGACAUCGUAUGCACAUUUGAGAGGCAUCCUCCUGAAUCCGAAUAUCUUAUUGUCUAUCACUUGUCCACAUUGUUAAUAGGUGUGUUCGAUUCACUUUUUUUUCUUUUUUUUUCAUUUCUGAUUCCUGUAUUUGCCACGCUUGCUUCAUUUUUGUUUGAUCACAUGUAUUCAUUUUGUCUUAGACUCUGGUCCGUUAUCCUUUCUGCUGUGUAUUGAUUGAUGCAUGUCAACUGAUGUACAAAGCCUGUAAAUCUCUGCCAUGAAUAAGUGUUGCUUAAUCGAAUAAGUUAUUGAAGCAUAUUCACGGAAUCGAGACCCGUAUUUGCUGGGGGGAGCGGAGUUUUUCGGAGUUCUUAAGUAGAUGUAAAAAUGUUUGUAUGUCAAUUCUCCAAAUUAAAGUCAGUGCACCGGAAGAGAAGUUCUUGUUACCAUGAUGUCAAUGUGUGUUUGUUGUUCUUGUGUUCUUUGAGCAAUCACUGAGAGAGUGACGAUUAGUUAGAGAUUCAGCAAAUUUUGUUUGUGUGCUUGAAGCAGAAUAUAAUGGCUGUACAUGUGAUGUAGGAUUGAAUGGAAAGUUGCUGGGAUAGUUGCUGAUGGAAGCACGUCACCUGCAUGUGUGUGGUCUGUGUGUAGAGAAUUGAGCAUAGUAAUUGCUAUUGAUCUUGUAGUAUCCAAUCUGUGAAGAAGUGCCAGUGUCCCAAAUUUGUCUUUAUUGAUCUUCUUUGUGUGAUGUUCUCUUCCUCAUUGUUUCCUGAUGUGCGCACAAGAGGUGGGAAAGUUUCUGGACAUGUCUUGGGUUAGAUUUCAAUCCUUUUAUGAUGGCUUUUCUGCUACUCUAGUUUUCAUUUCUUUUCUCACACCUGGAAUACUUUAAUUCUGUGCACGGGAUGACCGACGAGCAAGGAUUUUAAUUCCAUGAUGAUUGGAGGUGGUUGGCAAUGGAGCACACGCUUGGUGUUCUAUGAACGAGAUGCGUGCGUGCAUUAUUCUCUAAUGAGAUUAUAGAUAAGAAAGCGGGACUGGAAUGGACAGGGUCCAAUUUUGAAAGCCAUAAUCAAUUCAAAACUAUCAGUUUAUCGAGCCAUCGCAAGAUUAACGAUGGAGAGCUUGUCAUCUCUUCAUUUGGAUGGCAAAGCUGUAAAGAAGUAUCGGCUUGAGCCUCUUGUAUUAUUCACUGACGCAGCUGAGGCAUGUUUACAAUCUGUCUGGAGAAAAUUGAGGAUGCGGGAAGAUCUAUUCAGUGCUUUGCUUACUGGGAUGACUCAAAUUGCUGUCACUAAGGGUGGACAGCAGCUACGAGUUUUGCUCAUUCGCAUCAAGCUCCUUGUACUGACUGCAUGUGCUCAAGGGCGUUUAAGAAAGGAAUUAUGCCUGUGAGCAUCAUUUAUUCACAAUAACUUUGAUGGAUGUGUUCAUCCAUAAAAUACUUUUCCAGGAUUACAAUUUGCAGCAGGCUGAUGCAUGGGCCAGUAGCCAUGGAGCCCAUGGUUGAGAGUGUAAUGAAGGCAAGCUGUGAAGUGAUUGAAUAUGGCUGGAGUAAGGACUGGGCUCCUAUAGACACUUUUAUCAUGGAAAAUACAUUGUGAUAGCUUUGGCUGUUGUACAUGCUUCUUGUACAUAGUCGAUAUAUGCCUGAUAAUACUUGUAUGUAAGAUAUGAGCAUGUUCUCCUUGAAAUAUUAGGGUGUCAUAGGUUGGAGUCCACUUAAGGUUUACUGUGACCUAUUCAUCUGCUUUGUGACUAUAUAAUUUGAUAAUGUUCUAGGAGUGCCUAAGUUCUCAAUGUAGAGAUCUUAACUGGAAAUGUCAAUUACCGGUCCUUCUAA
This is a long non-coding RNA of Syzygium oleosum, 2041 nucleotides long. RefSeq lists it as uncharacterized. The record is from RefSeq and is a predicted model, not a curated record. The transcript is spliced from 2 exons. Lineage: Eukaryota; Viridiplantae; Streptophyta; Magnoliopsida; Myrtales; Myrtaceae.